Molecule: microRNA precursor, 72 nt
Filed under: Myotis brandtii (Brandt's bat)
Lineage: Eukaryota; Metazoa; Chordata; Mammalia; Chiroptera; Vespertilionidae
Description: mir-9193 microRNA precursor family
Rfam family: mir-9193 microRNA precursor family
Source: Rfam by way of RNAcentral
ACUGGAGGGGGGGUCCCUCAGCCCAGAUUCUGAGAGGGCACAGGCCAGGUUGAGGGACCCCACUGCUGCACA